AGAGUUUGAUCCUGGCUCAGGACGAACGCUGGCGGCGUGCUUAACACAUGCAAGUCGAACGAUGAUGCCCAGCUUGCUGGGCGGAUUAGUGGCGAACGGGUGAGUAAUACGUGAGUAACCUGCCCUUGACUCUGGGAUAAGCCUGGGAAACUGGGUCUAAUACUGGAUACUACCUCUUACCGCAUGGUGGGUGGUGGAAAGGGUUUUACUGGUUUUGGAUGGGCUCACGGCCUAUCAGCUUGUUGGUGGGGUAAUGGCUCACCAAGGCGACGACGGGUAGCCGGCCUGAGAGGGUGACCGGCCACACUGGGACUGAGACACGGCCCAGACUCCUACGGGAGGCAGCAGUGGGGAAUAUUGCACAAUGGGCGGAAGCCUGAUGCAGCGACGCCGCGUGAGGGAUGACGGCCUUCGGGUUGUAAACCUCUUUCAGUAGGGAAGAAGCGAGAGUGACGGUACCUGCAGAAGAAGCGCCGGCUAACUACGUGCCAGCAGCCGCGGUAAUACGUAGGGCGCAAGCGUUGUCCGGAAUUAUUGGGCGUAAAGAGCUCGUAGGCGGUUUGUCGCGUCUGCUGUGAAAGCCCGGGGCUCAACCCCGGGUCUGCAGUGGGUACGGGCAGACUAGAGUGCAGUGGGGGAGACUGGAAUUCCUGGUGUAGCGGUGAAAUGCGCAGAUAUCAGGAGGAACACCGAUGGCGAAGGCAGGUCUCUGGGCUGUUACUGACGCUGAGGAGCGAAAGCAUGGGGAGCGAACAGGAUUAGAUACCCUGGUAGUCCAUGCCGUAAACGUUGGGCACUAGGUGUGGGGGACAUUCCACGUUUUCCGCGCCGUAGCUAACGCAUUAAGUGCCCCGCCUGGGGAGUACGGCCGCAAGGCUAAAACUCAAAGGAAUUGACGGGGGCCCGCACAAGCGGCGGAGCAUGCGGAUUAAUUCGAUGCAACGCGAAGAAYCUUACCAAGGCUUGACAUUCACCGGACCGCCCCAGAGAUGGGGUUUCCCUUCGGGGCUGGUGGACAUGGUGGUGCAUGGUUGUCGUCAGCUCGUGUCGUGAGAUGUUGGGUUAAGUCCCGCAACGAGCGCAACCCUCGUUCUAUGUUGCCAGCACGUGAUGGUGGGGACUCAUAGGAGACUGCCGGGGUCAACUCGGAGGAAGGUGGGGAUGACGUCAAAUCAUCAUGCCCCUUAUGUCUUGGGCUUCACGCAUGCUACAAUGGCCGGUACAAAGGGUUGCGAUACUGUGAGGUGGAGCUAAUCCCAAAAAGCCGGUCUCAGUUCGGAUUGAGGUCUGCAACUCGACCUCAUGAAGUCGGAGUCGCUAGUAAUCGCAGAUCAGCAACGCUGCGGUGAAUACGUUCCCGGGCCUUGUACACACCGCCCGUCAAGUCACGAAAGUUGGUAACACCCGAAGCCGGUGGCCUAACCCCUUGUGGGAGGGAGCCGUCGAAGGUGGGACUGGCGAUUGGGACUAAGUCGUAACAAGGUAACCGUA
This 1491-nucleotide ribosomal RNA is filed under the name Kocuria sp. A5(2011). RNAcentral describes it as "bacterial SSU rRNA". It matches the Rfam family "Bacterial small subunit ribosomal RNA". Lineage: Bacteria; Bacillati; Actinomycetota; Actinomycetes; Micrococcales; Micrococcaceae. The record is from RNAcentral.